UACGUAGGUGGCAAGCGUUAUCCGGAAUUACUGGGCGUAAAGCGCACGCAGGCGGCGCAUCAAGUUCGACGUGAAAGCUCCCGGCUUAACUGGGAGAGGUCGUUGAAGACUGAUGUGCUUGAGGCAAGGAGAGGGGUGUAGAAUUCCCGGUGUAGUGGUGGAAUGCGUAGAUAUCGGGGGGAAUACCAGUGGCGAAAGCGGCACCCUAGCCUUAGCCUGACGCUCAGGUGCGAAAGCGUGGGGAGCGAACGGG
This 253-nucleotide non-coding RNA is filed under the name uncultured bacterium. RNAcentral's name for it is "partial 16S ribosomal RNA". It matches the Rfam family "Bacterial small subunit ribosomal RNA", at positions 524 to 776 of the family's 1533-position model. The record is from RNAcentral. RNAcentral also lists the same sequence under 1 other name.